GGGGAAUAUUGCACAAUGGGGGAAACCCUGAUGCAGCGACGCCGCGUGGAGGAAGAAGGUCUUCGGAUUGUAAACUCCUGUUGUUGGGGAAGAUAAUGACGGUACCCAACAAGGAAGUGACGGCUAACUACGUGCCAGCAGCCGCGGUAAAACGUAGGUCACAAGCGUUGUCCGGAAUUACUGGGUGUAAAGGGAGCGCAGGCGGGAAGACAAGUUGGAAGUGAAAUCUAUGGGCUCAACCCAUAAACUGCUUUCAAAACUGUUUUUCUUGAGUAGUGCAGAGGUAGGCGGAAUUCCCGGUGUAGCGGUGGAAUGCGUAGAUAUCGGGAGGAACACCAGUGGCGAAGGCGGCCUACUGGGCACCAACUGACGCUGAGGCUCGAAAGUGUGGGUAGCAAACAGGAUUAGAUACCCUGGUAGUCCACACCGUAAACGAUGAUUACUAGGUGUUGGAGGAUUGACCCCUUCAGUGCCGCAGUUAACACAAUAAGUAAUCCACCUGGGGAGUACGACCGCAAGGUUGAAACUCAAAGGAAUUGACGGGGGCCCGCACAAGCAGUGGAGUAUGUGGUUUAAUUCGACGCAACGCGAAGAACCUUACCAAGUCUUGACAUCCCUUGACAGACAUAGAAAUAUGUAAUCUCUUCGGAGCAAGGAGACAGGUGGUGCAUGGUUGUCGUCAGCUCGUGUCGUGAGAUGUUGGGUUAAGUCCCGCAACGAGCGCAACCCUUAUGGUCAGUUACUACGCAAGAGGACUCUGGCCAGACUGCCGUUGACAAAACGGAGGAAGGUGGGG
RNAcentral lists this ribosomal RNA (796 nucleotides) under uncultured bacterium. RNAcentral describes it as "bacterial SSU rRNA". It matches the Rfam family "Bacterial small subunit ribosomal RNA", at positions 356 to 1178 of the family's 1533-position model. The record is from RNAcentral.